Molecule: ribosomal RNA, 2661 nt
Filed under: Triticum aestivum (bread wheat)
Lineage: Eukaryota; Viridiplantae; Streptophyta; Magnoliopsida; Poales; Poaceae
Description: partial small subunit ribosomal RNA
Source: RNAcentral
AUGCCACUUACUACUAGUCUAGCUAGCACAAGAAGAGAGAGCGGGCUAGCCACGCCAGGUAGAUUCAGCAACGUACGCACGUAUACCAGCUUUCUUGCAAAGAUGCGUGCCGGCGGCUGCGCGGUGCAGCAGGCUCUGGCGCCGGAGGCGGCGUCCGUGGUGAGGCAGGCGGUCACACUGGCACGGCGGCGCGGCCACGCGCAGGUCACCCCGCUCCACGUCGCCACCGCCAUGCUCCUUCCCCCGGCGCCGGCGGGCCUGCUCCGCGCCGCCUGCCUCCGCUCCCACUCCCACCCGCUCCAGUGCAAGGCCCUCGAGCUCUGCUUCAACGUCGCGCUCAACCGCCUCCCCACCUCCGGACCCGCCGCCAUGUUCCACGGCGGCGCGCACAUGCAACAUCAUCACCACCACCGCGGCGCCUCCGAUGCACCCGCGCUGUCCAACGCGCUCGUCGCCGCGUUCAAGCGCGCGCAGGCGCACCAGCGCCGCGGGGGCGCCGGGGACGGCGUCCAGCAGACGGCCGCGCCGGUGCUCACCGCCAAGGUCGAGCUGGAGCAGCUCAUCGUCUCCAUCCUCGACGACCCGAGCGUGAGCCGCGUCAUGCGCGAGGCCGGAUUCUCCAGCUCGCAAGUCAAGGACAACGUCGAGAAGGCCGUCUCCUCGGCGUCGCCGUCGUUGGAACGCGCGGCUAACAUGACGACGACGAGCUCUAUUAAGGAGUCCAGAGCGAAGUCGGCCGGCGGCGACGACGCCAUGCGCGUGCUAGAGUGCAUGGCGAGCGGGACGAAGCGGUGCUUGGUCGUCGUCGGCGAGGGCGCGGAGGCGGCCGUGAAGGCCGUGAUGGACAAGGUGAGCAAGUCGGAGCUUCACCACCGGCACCACGAGCGCCUCAAGAGCGUCCAGUUCGUGCCGCUCUCCGUCACGUCGUUCCGGCACGCCACGAGGGAGCAGGUGGAAGCCAAGACUGGCGAACUCCGCGCGCUCGUUUGCGAGGCCCGCGCCGCCGGUAAGGGCGUCGCGCUCGUCGUAGAGGACCUCGCCUACGCGGCCGACGCCUGGCACAAGAGAAGAGGCGAGCAUGUUCACGGCGGACACUCACAGUACUACUGCCCCGUUGAGCACGCCGUCAUGGAGGUGAGUGGCCUGGUAUCCGGCGACUCUGGCUCCGGCGGCGGAAGGUUCUGGCUGCUAGGGUUUGCGAGCCGCACGGUGUUCAUGAAGUGCAGGGUCGGGCAGCCGUCUUUGGAGGCCGUCUGGGGGAUCCACCCCCUCGUCGUGCCAGACGGCGGCAGCCUCGCGUUAAGCCUCAGCUGCACCAUUGAGGCACAGGCUAGCCAGCAAGCAGGAAGAUCGAUAACGGGGUGGCCCUUGGUCAACGGCGCGGCCAUUACCGGCGAGAGCGAGCUCACUUGGUGCGCCAGGACGCCGUCCCCGGAGCCGAACAUACCGUCAUGGCUUCGCCGGUACCAUGACCCAUAUCACACCACACCGACGAGCAGCAGUACCAGUCUUCAGCAGUUGCAAGAUCUAUGGAACCCCGUGCGCAAUUGGUCAGCAACGCACCACCAUACAUCGGAGCUAACCUUGAGCUUCUCAUCCCCUACAUCACCGGCAGCUUCUUCCCUCUCCGGCUACAACAACAACCCGAUGACGAUGAGCUCGUCCAAGCCUUGUCAUCCCGAGCCGAGGAAACCGUGGCCGCCGUCAAACCAAGGGCACGACGGUCCGGCCACAAGGGCGGAGGCGAUUCGUGAUCUUCCUCGGUGGCAUAAUACCGAAAUCGCUUUCCCAGAAUCCAUUACGGUUCAAUCCAAUUCACCCAAUGGUCACGGCGGCGGUACGGCAGAUCCGGAGCCGCGGCGCCCGAAGUUCACGGAGCUUACCGCAGAAAACCUCAAGAUCAUGUGUGGCACGCUCGAGGAUUGCGUGCCGUGGCAUAUUAAGGACAUGGCAGCGGGCGUUGCCAGCGCUGUGCUCCAACGCCGGUCCGGCAUGGCGAGGCAGCGAGACACGCCGACGCCGAGCUCGACGACGUGGCUGCUCUUCAAAGGGAGCGACCGUGACGGCAAGAAGUCCAUGGCUCUGGAGAUCGCCAAGCUCGUCUUUGGAUCCUACAAUGACUUCAUCUCCAUGUCAUCAGCCGGCUGCACCCCGGUUCACUCCAGUUCGAGCUCUGGCGAGCUUUCCGGCAAGAGGCAGAGAUCGCCGGACUACGAGCAUAGCUGCGCACAAAGGUUUUACGAAGCGAUCCGCGAGAACCCUCGCCGGGUGCUGAUGAUCGACGAUGUCGAGCAAAUGAACCUUGAAUCAGAGAUCGGCAUCAAGAAAGCGAUUGCCAGUGGAAGGGCGAGGGGUUGCAAUGGCGUUGAGAUCAGUCUCGAGGAUGCCAUCGUAGUGCUGAGCUGCGAAGCAUUCGACUCGAGAUCUAGGGCUUCCUCUCCUCGGGUCGUCAAGCAGAAGGUCAUAUGCGACGAGGAAUACAGUGGCGGCGUGGAGAAGGGGGUGAUGAAGCCGCCAUGUUUUAGCUUGGAUUUGAACGAGUUCGCCUCUGGUGAUGAUGAAGGACAUCAGGAGGAAGAGGGAUUGGAUAGUGACGUGGAGAUAUGUGAUGUUGUGGAUGGUGUUUUCUUCUUCCGAUUACCGGGAGAUUUGUCACAUUAG